AAAGUCGUAACAAGGUUUCCGUAGGUGAACCUGCGGAAGGAUCAUUAAAAGUAAUAUGUAUUCUCUCGAAUAUACAUUAUAAACCCAUCUGUGUAUCUUACCCGUUGCUUCCGCGAGGCAGUGAUCUCGGUCACCUCCGAACGAUGGCGAAAGCCGUCAGACGGGGAGCCCCCGCGGGAGGUAUACAUCAAACCCUUGCAUCUUUAUGUCAUCUGUCUGAACUGUUUAUAACAAAUGUUAAAACUUUCAACAACGGAUCUCUUGGUUCUC
RNAcentral lists this unclassified non-coding RNA (270 nucleotides) under Ascomycota sp. RNAcentral describes it as "partial contains small subunit ribosomal RNA, internal transcribed spacer 1, and 5.8S ribosomal RNA". The stretch from base 1 to 47 matches the Rfam family "Eukaryotic small subunit ribosomal RNA", at positions 1785 to 1831 of the family's 1831-position model. The record is from RNAcentral. Lineage: Eukaryota; Fungi; Ascomycota.